This 692-nucleotide ribosomal RNA is filed under the name uncultured bacterium. RNAcentral's name for it is "bacterial SSU rRNA". It matches the Rfam family "Bacterial small subunit ribosomal RNA", at positions 33 to 715 of the family's 1533-position model. The record is from RNAcentral.
ACGCUAGCUACAGGCUUAACACAUGCAAGUCGAGGGGCAGCAUGAACUUAGCUUGCUAAGUUUGAUGGCGACCGGCGCACGGGUGAGUAACACGUAUCCAACCUGCCGAUGACUCGGGGAUAGCCUUUCGAAAGAAAGAUUAAUACCCGAUGGCAUAGUUCUUCCGCAUGGUAGAACUAUUAAAGAAUUUCGGUCAUCGAUGGGGAUGCGUUCCAUUAGGUUGUUGGCGGGGUAACGGCCCACCAAGCCUUCGAUGGAUAGGGGUUCUGAGAGGAAGGUCCCCCACAUUGGAACUGAGACACGGUCCAAACUCCUACGGGAGGCAGCAGUGAGGAAUAUUGGUCAAUGGACGAGAGUCUGAACCAGCCAAGUAGCGUGAAGGAUGACUGCCCUAUGGGUUGUAAACUUCUUUUAUACGGGAAUAAAGUGAGGCACGUGUGCCUUUUUGUAUGUACCGUAUGAAUAAGGAUCGGCUAACUCCGUGCCAGCAGCCGCGGUAAUACGGAGGAUCCGAGCGUUAUCCGGAUUUAUUAGGUUUAAAGGGAGCGUAGGCGGACGCUUAAGUCAGUUGUGAAAGUUUGCGGCUCAACCGUAAAAUUGCAGUUGAUACUGGGUGUCUUGAGUACAGUAGAGGCAGGCGGAAUUCGUGGUGUAGCGGUGAAAUGCUUAGAUAUCACGAAGAACUCCGAUUG